Molecule: ribosomal RNA, 403 nt
Filed under: uncultured bacterium
Lineage: Bacteria
Description: bacterial SSU rRNA
Rfam family: Bacterial small subunit ribosomal RNA
Source: RNAcentral
UAGGGAAUAUUGCAAAAUGGGCGAAAGCCCGAUGCAGCAACGCCGCGUGGGCGAUGAAGGCCUUCGGGUCGUAAAGCCCUUUUUGAGGGGAUGAGGAAGGACAGUACCCUCAGAAUAAGCCUCGGCUAACUACGUGCCAGCAGCCGCGGUAAAACGUAGGAGGCGAGCGGUAUCCGGAUUUACUGGGCGUAAAGCGCGUGCAGGCGGAUUGGAGAGUUGGAUGUGAAAGCUCCCGGCUUAACUGGGAGAGGUCGUUCAAUACUUCCAGUCUUGAGUGCAGUAGAGGGAAGUGGAAUUCCGGGUGUAGUGGUGAAAUGCGUAGAUAUCCGGAGGAACACCAGUGGCGAAAGCGGCUUCCUGGACUGUAACUGACGCUCAGACGCGAAAGCUAGGGUAGCAAACG